This 947-nucleotide ribosomal RNA is filed under the name Microbacterium maritypicum. RNAcentral's name for it is "bacterial SSU rRNA". It matches the Rfam family "Bacterial small subunit ribosomal RNA", at positions 78 to 1037 of the family's 1533-position model. The record is from RNAcentral. Lineage: Bacteria; Bacillati; Actinomycetota; Actinomycetes; Micrococcales; Microbacteriaceae.
GCUUGCUCUGUGGGAUCAGUGGCGAACGGGUGAGUAACACGUGAGCAACCUGCCCCUGACUCUGGGAUAAGCGCUGGAAACGGCGUCUAAUACUGGAUAUGUGACGUGAUCGCAUGGUCUGCGUCUGGAAAGAAUUUCGGUUGGGGAUGGGCUCGCGGCCUAUCAGCUUGUUGGUGAGGUAAUGGCUCACCAAGGCGUCGACGGGUAGCCGGCCUGAGAGGGUGACCGGCCACACUGGGACUGAGACACGGCCCAGACUCCUACGGGAGGCAGCAGUGGGGAAUAUUGCACAAUGGGCGCAAGCCUGAUGCAGCAACGCCGCGUGAGGGAUGACGGCCUUCGGGUUGUAAACCUCUUUUAGCAGGGAAGAAGCGAAAGUGACGGUACCUGCAGAAAAAGCGCCGGCUAACUACGUGCCAGCAGCCGCGGUAAUACGUAGGGCGCAAGCGUUAUCCGGAAUUAUUGGGCGUAAAGAGCUCGUAGGCGGUUUGUCGCGUCUGCUGUGAAAUCCGGAGGCUCAACCUCCGGCCUGCAGUGGGUACGGGCAGACUAGAGUGCGGUAGGGGAGAUUGGAAUUCCUGGUGUAGCGGUGGAAUGCGCAGAUAUCAGGAGGAACACCGAUGGCGAAGGCAGAUCUCUGGGCCGUAACUGACGCUGAGGAGCGAAAGGGUGGGGAGCAAACAGGCUUAGAUACCCUGGUAGUCCACCCCGUAAACGUUGGGAACUAGUUGUGGGGUCCAUUCCACGGAUUCCGUGACGCAGCUAACGCAUUAAGUUCCCCGCCUGGGGAGUACGGCCGCAAGGCUAAAACUCAAAGGAAUUGACGGGGACCCGCACAAGCGGCGGAGCAUGCGGAUUAAUUCGAUGCAACGCGAAGAACCUUACCAAGGCUUGACAUAUACGAGAACGGGCCAGAAAUGGUCAACUCUUUGGACACUCGUAAACAG